Molecule: long non-coding RNA, 2510 nt
Filed under: Panax ginseng (ginseng)
Lineage: Eukaryota; Viridiplantae; Streptophyta; Magnoliopsida; Apiales; Araliaceae
Description: long non-coding RNA (PGIN_LNC000507)
Source: RNAcentral
AAACACGUUUCACACCUCUAUCCUCCCAAAUCAGAGCUUCUCCUCUCAGAAAUCACUCAAGCUUCUCUCCUCUCGUAGCGAUGAAAUUGCUCGAGCUCCCCCCCAUCAGAAAUCAAUCUGGCAUGUUCUUAAUUCUCCCCGAAAAUGAGAAAUUGAUACGGCAUGUUCUUCUCCCCCAAAAUGAGAAAUCGAUUCAACAUGUUCUUCUCUGACCCACUCACUUCCGUUUCCCAAAUCAGAAAUCGCUCAAGCUCUUCUCCCCCAAACAGGUUUCUUCCUUCCACCCUCUCUCUCUCUAUAUGUAUGUAUAUACAUAUGUUUGUCAAUUUUUAUACGUCUUCUCGUUGUUGAGUUUAUGUUAUAUAUAAGCCUCAUUGUUGUUUGUUGGUGUGAAUUGGGUACCGGGUAUUGUCUAAUUUUAUGUGGUUUAAAUUUUAUUGAAUUAUGGUGUUUUACAAGCUAGGGUUUUUGUGGUGUAUUUUAUUGAUUUGGGUGAAUUACUUGUAACUCGGCUUCAUGGUUGUGUUUUUGUGUGGUUAUGAAUUAUGGUUCUCUCUAGGGAUUUUUCAUAGUAAUCAAUGAUCUCUGAUUUGGAAUUGAGCCCUUUUGGAGGAGUAUCCAGUAGCGCUAGUUCUUGUAGAUAAAGAAAUACUGGAAAUGGAAGAAGAAAAUCUGAAAAUGUUGUUACUGGAGAAUAAAAAAGAGCUGAUUGUAUAGGGGCUGUUGUAAUUUUUCUUGGAUGUUUGAAAUUUGGUGGCUAUUGAAAGGGAAAAAUAUAUAUCGACUAGGGUUAACUGAAGUGCAGGUGAUAAUUUGAGGUUUAUGUCCAUGGAAGUAGAUGCUGAGGUUUAUUUUUAAUCUUUUGCACACGGGUCCUUUUCAGUUAGCUCAAUAGCACCUUGACUUGUUACAUAAUGUAAAUUAUUCCAUCAGGUGAUUACCAACAAAAUAAAGAAGAAUACUUAAUUAGAGAUGUUACAGUAUCAUUGAGCAUAUUGUUUGACUUGAAUUUCACGACAGAUUGUUGGAGUAACUGGUUUUGUUUUGACAAAGCUUGAUGGUUUUUGCCAGUGGUAGCUGUGUGGUAUGCGUGUUUUUUGUACAACUCUCUGUGGUUCACAUAUUUGAUACUCUGUACAGGUUGCCAUAUAUUUCUGCAUACACAAUCACCUUUUAGUAUUUCAUGUUAAGAAUAUUAAAUAUAUAAAAUAGAUAUUGCUUACAUGUAUAGGUGAAAAUUGUAUGACCUUCUGUUUGUUAACAUUUUAUAGGGGUUUGGAUGUGUUUGUACAGGUUGCCAAAGUUAUUUCAUGAUUAUGCUUUUAAAAGAGUUCCCUUCAUUUGACGGGUUCAGUUUCAAUUAGUAUUUAGCCAUAUUUUGGAUCUAUAAUUAACUAAAACAUAUCUUCCUGUGUUGCUCUUUUCUUCUGAUCUUAUGUCAAUUAUUUUGUGAAGGACUCACGAAUGAAGUCGGGAAGCAGGCAACUUCAUCCGCUGUUCCUGCAAUGCGUGGAAAUGAGUCUUCCACUCCAGAUGCAGGAGGAAUGGCUAAUGCCGGAUCUAGGGAGAAGAGUAUGCAAUCGCAGCUUUGAAUAAAGUAAAGCAAAUAAUUGAGUAGCUAAUGUGGAAUUUGGUAUCUGACAAAAAAUUAUCAGUUGAUUUGCAAGCCAGAAAUUACAUAUUUAGACAGAUUAAUGCACUUGUAGAAUACUGAAACAUAAAUGAGAUUGUUGUAUUCCAUUACAAAAGAUUAUUAAUCCAUAUGAGAAUUCAGAAUUGAAAUACUGAGAGCAGUUGAUUAUUAUCUGUGUUUGAUAUUUCAUUUUUCUGUAAUAUUUAUAACAUUUGAAUGUUGUAAGCUAUAUAACUUCUUGUUUUUGUGGAAUGUAAUUGACAUUAAGGACCUCAAUUAGGGAAUUGUGACCAACUUAUUAUCUGAAAAGCAAGCCAAUCCAGAGAUAAAAUUAUAUUUCUAAUGAAUCACACAACACCAUUACGAAAUACGGAUGUAAUUUAGAAACUAACAUGCAUGUCUUUAAAACGAAAACAACUCAACAAUACUAAGCAGUUCCAGCUGCUUACUAUGGAAGACAGUACUACAAAUGGUGAUUUUUUGAGUGUAAUGUUUUACUUUCCUGACAAACUCAGGGUUUCUAUUUAUAUUGCUGUUGCGAUUACUACUUGCUUCAUUAGCUGAUGAUCAUGGCCUUAGUCUUUUGGGAGACGUAACACCACCAGGUGCAAGAAUAGUAGGUGCAGAAGAUUUGUCUCUGGAUGAUACUGCCAUUCGAGGUGCAUGUUUCAUGAAUUCCAGUUCAUUUGACAUUAGGGAGUUGAUUGUCCCAGUGGUUCCAACUUUGAUGGACCUUCCACCACCUUUGAUGGCCUCCAAUGUCUAAACCAUGUUUUUCUUCAAUCUCUAUCAGAGUUAUGAGUAGAACUUUUGUAAGAGAAACUUUUAAAAUCUCUUCAACUAGUUGGAACAGAAUAUGAGUAAAUGCAGUUUAACC